UGGGGAAUAUUGGGCAAUGGAGGCAACUCUGACCCAGCAACGCCGCGUGAAGGAUGAAGGUCUUCGGAUUGUAAACUUCUGUCGCGAGGGACGAAGAAUGACGGUACCUCGUAAGAAAGCCCCGGCUAACUACGUGCCAGCAGCCGCGGUAAUACGUAGGGGGCAAGCGUUGUCCGGAAUGACUGGGCGUAAAGGGAGCGUAGGUGGCAAGAUAAGUUAGAUGUGAAAGCCCACGGCUUAACCGUGGAACUGCAUCUAAAACUGUCUAGCUAGAGUGCAGGAGAGGUGAGUGGAAUUCCUAGUGUAGCGGUGGAAUGCGUAGAUAUUAGGAGGAACACCAGAGGCGAAGGCGACUCACUGGACUGUAACUGACGCUGAGGCUCGAAAGCGUGGGGAGCAAACAGG
This 405-nucleotide ribosomal RNA is filed under the name uncultured prokaryote. Its description in RNAcentral is "bacterial SSU rRNA". It matches the Rfam family "Bacterial small subunit ribosomal RNA", at positions 355 to 776 of the family's 1533-position model. RNAcentral also lists the same sequence under 1 other name. The record is from RNAcentral.